UCCAAAAGACAUGGGUCUCGCGAGAGUUCUUGUCACCGUACAGAACCGGAAGUAACGUGUGGGUCUCUUCCCUUUUGCGGCCAUCGCUGAAGCAGCUUCGGCCAAAAUGAAGUUCAACCCCUUUGUGACUUCUGACCGGAGCAAGAACCGUAAAAGACAUUUCAAUGCACCUUCCCACGUUCGCAGGAAGAUUAUGUCUUCUCCUCUUUCCAAAGAGCUGAGACAGAAG
Long non-coding RNA from Hipposideros armiger (great roundleaf bat), 229 nucleotides. RefSeq lists it as uncharacterized. The record is from RefSeq and is a predicted model, not a curated record. Lineage: Eukaryota; Metazoa; Chordata; Mammalia; Chiroptera; Hipposideridae. The transcript is spliced from 2 exons.